RNAcentral lists this ribosomal RNA (256 nucleotides) under uncultured bacterium. RNAcentral's name for it is "partial 16S ribosomal RNA". It matches the Rfam family "Bacterial small subunit ribosomal RNA", at positions 793 to 1055 of the family's 1533-position model. The record is from RNAcentral.
GUCCACGCCGUAAACGAUGGAUACUAGCUGUGCGGAUGCAAAUCUGUGUGGCUAAGCGAAAGUGAUAAGUAUCCCACCUGGGAGUACGAACGCAAGUUUGAAACUCAAAGGAAUUGACGGGGCCCGCACAAGCGGUGGAGCAUGUGGUUUAAUUCGAUGAUACGCGAGGAACCUUACCAAGGCUUAAAAUGUAGGUUGACCGGAUUGGAAACAGUCCUUUCGCAAGACAACUUACAAGGUGCUGCAUGGUUGUCGU